RNAcentral lists this ribosomal RNA (492 nucleotides) under uncultured bacterium. Its description in RNAcentral is "partial 16S ribosomal RNA". It matches the Rfam family "Bacterial small subunit ribosomal RNA", at positions 29 to 507 of the family's 1533-position model. The record is from RNAcentral.
AGUGAACGCUGGCGGUAGGCCUAACACAUGCAAGUCGAACGGCAGCACAGUAAGCGCUUGCUCUUACGGGUGGCGAGUGGCGGACGGGUGAGGAAUACAUCGGAAUCUACUUUUUCGUGGGGGAUAACGUAGGGAAACUUACGCUAAUACCGCAUAUGACCUACGGGUGAAAUCAGGGGAUCUUCGGACCUUGCGCGACUGAAUGAGCCGAUGUCGGAUUAGCUAGUUGGCGGGGUAAAGGCCCACCAAGGCGACGAUCCGUAGCUGGUCUGAGAGGAUGAUCAGCCACACUGGAACUGAGACACGGUCCAGACUCCUACGGGAGGCAGCAGUGGGGAAUAUUGGACAAUGGGCGCAAGCCUGAUCCAGCCAUACCGCGUGGGUGAAGAAGGCCUUCGGGUUGUAAAGCCCUUUUGUUGGGAAAGAAAAGCAGCAGGUUAAUACCCCGCUGUUCUGACGGUACCCAAAGAAUAAGCACCGGCUAACUUCGUG